Molecule: transfer RNA, 73 nt
Filed under: Anaerolineae bacterium
Lineage: Bacteria; Bacillati; Chloroflexota; Anaerolineae
Description: tRNA-Cys
Rfam family: tRNA
About the family: Transfer RNA (tRNA) molecules are approximately 80 nucleotides in length. Their secondary structure includes four short double-helical elements and three loops (D, anti-codon, and T loops).
Source: RNAcentral
GAUGGCGUGGCGAAGCGGUUAACGCGGUGGUCUGCAAAAUCACUAUGCGCGGGUUCGAGUCCCGCCGUCAUCU